GGGUUCUUGCAUCGCCCGGCGCCGGGUGAGCGUAUGGAUGGAUUGCGCUCACUCAUGGGGUAGUCGCACGAUUCGCCCCGGUCGUGGAGGU
RNAcentral lists this non-coding RNA (91 nucleotides) under Streptomyces sp. ATexAB-D23. RNAcentral describes it as "NLPC-P60 RNA". It matches the Rfam family "NLPC-P60 RNA". Lineage: Bacteria; Bacillati; Actinomycetota; Actinomycetes; Kitasatosporales; Streptomycetaceae. The record is from RNAcentral.